This 432-nucleotide ribosomal RNA is filed under the name Nocardioides sp. Its description in RNAcentral is "bacterial SSU rRNA". It matches the Rfam family "Bacterial small subunit ribosomal RNA", at positions 10 to 447 of the family's 1533-position model. Lineage: Bacteria; Bacillati; Actinomycetota; Actinomycetes; Propionibacteriales; Nocardioidaceae. The record is from RNAcentral.
AGUUUGAUCCUGGCUCAGGACGAACGCUGGCGGCGUGCUUAACACAUGCAAGUCGAGCGGAAAGGCCCUUCGGGGUACUCGAGCGGCGAACGGGUGAGUAACACGUGAGUAAUCUGCCCUCCACUUUGGGAUAGCCACCGGAAACGGUGAUUAAUACCGGAUAUGACCUGUGCCCGCAUGGGUGUUGGUGGAAAGUUUUUCGGUGGGGGAUGUGCUCGCGGCCUAUCAGCUUGAUGGUGGGGUAAUGGCCUACCAUGGCUUCGACGGGUAGCCGGCCUGAGAGGGUGACCGGCCACACUGGGACUGAGACACGGCCCAGACUCCUACGGGAGGCAGCAGUGGGGAAUAUUGGACAAUGGGCGGAAGCCUGAUCCAGCAACGCCGCGUGAGGGAUGACGGCCUUCGGGUUGUAAACCUCUUUCGGUGGGGACG